This 3027-nucleotide ribosomal RNA is filed under the name Triticum aestivum (bread wheat). Its description in RNAcentral is "partial small subunit ribosomal RNA". The record is from RNAcentral. Lineage: Eukaryota; Viridiplantae; Streptophyta; Magnoliopsida; Poales; Poaceae.
AUGGCGUCGAGGGGGUUCGGGUCCGGUGGUGGACGAGGCGGGCGAGGCGACGGCGCAGGGCGCCGCCCCGGUGGACGGGGAGACGGCCGAGGGCGCGGAUCCGGCGGCCGUGGCGAGGCUGGAGGAGGAGGUUACGGUCGCGGCCCUGGUGCUCCAACUCCAGCAGCGGGCGGGUACAAUCAGCAAGCGCCGCCCGCGCGCGUCGACGCUGGAGGCCGAGGUCCCGGCGUACCGGCUGGCUUCCGCCCCGCCGCGCCGCGUCCGGCCGCGCCUGCGGUUCCCGCGUCGGCCUCUACGAGUUCUUCGCGCGCCCCUCCGUCUUCGGCUACGACGGCGCCUGCUGAUGCUCUCGCGAGGGACGUGGGCAGGCUGACCGUGGAGGCGCCCCCGGCUCCCCGUUCCUCCGCACCCGCCGCGGCGGGAGCCCCGGCUCUUCGUCCCCCUGUUCUGCCCGCGGCCGCGGGCGGAUCUCAACCGGAAUCCCAGGCGCCUGCGCCUGCGCCACCGGCAGCCGCCCCGGUGUCGAGCAAGUCGGUGGCCCAACCGGGUCGUCCGGGUUUCGGUACGGCGGGGCGGAAGAUGAUCGUGCGAGCGAACCACUUCCUCGUCGGCUUCGCGGACAAGGACAUCUGCCACUACGAUGUUGCAAUUACUCCUGAGCCCAAAACAAGACGGAUCAACAGGAUUCUGAUGACGGAGCUGACAAGCAAGCACCGCGCGUCGUCUCUCGGUGGCCUACUGGCCGCAUACGAUGGCAGCAAGAGCCUGUACACUGCAGGCGAGCUGCCAUUCCAGGCGAUGGAUUUCUCCAUCAAGCUGGGGAAACCACCAAGAGAAACUGAGUACAAGGUCAAGGUUCAAUUCGCCGCGCGGGCAAACUUGUACCACCUGCAGCAGUUCCUCAGUGGGAGGCAACGUGAUUCUCCACAGGACACAAUACAAGCGCUCGACGUUGUGUUGAGAGAGUCACCUUCUCUGAACUAUGUCACCGUUUCUCGAUCCUUCUACUCCACAAUAUUUGGCCAACGUGACAUCGGUGAUGGGCUGGAGUGCUGGAGAGGAUAUUACCAAAGCUUGCGCCCCACUCAGAUGGGCCUCUCACUGAAUAUAGAUAUAUCAUCAAUGCCAUUUUACAAAUCUAUAUCGGUGAUACAAUUUGUUCAGGAGUGUCUGAAUAUGAGGAAUGCCGACCCCAAUCGCCCCCUUUCUGACAGGGACCGCCUGAAGCUUAAGAAAGCAUUGCGCGGGAUUCGUGUUGAAACCACUCAUCAAGAGGGCAAAAGGAGCGCCUACAAGAUAACUGGGAUUACUUCUGUUCCGCUGAUUCAGCUCAACUUUCCUCUGGAUGACGGCAACCAAAUGACUGUUGUGCAAUACUUUUGGGGCCGAUACAAGUAUAGAUUGAGGUUCACUUCUUGGCCUUGUCUGCAGUCUGGAAAUGAUUCUCGCCCUAUAUAUUUGCCAAUGGAGGUAUGCACAAUUAUUGAAGGGCAGAGGUUCACCAGGAAGCUUAACGAGAAACAAGUGACUGGCAUACUGAGAGCUACGUGCGAACGUCCCCAUGAUAGGGAGAAGAGCAUACUUAAGAUGGUGCAGCACAACAACUAUUCAGCUGAUAAGCUGGCACAGGAGUUUGGAAUCGAUGUUACGGAUAAAAUGGUCAAUGUGCAGGCUCGCGUGCUACCUCCCCCCAUGCUCAAAUAUCAUGAGUCUGGAAAGGACAAAGCUUGUGCACCAAGUGUUGGCCAGUGGAACAUGAUUGGCAAGAAAAUGAUAAAUGGAGGGAAUGUUCAGAGAUGGACUUGCUUGAACUUUUCACGUCUGCACAUUGAUGGAGUCGAAAGGUUUUGUGGCGACUUAGUCAAAAUGUGCAACGCCAUCGGCAUGGUUUUCAAUCCUAGCCCAGUGGUAGAAAUUCUCUCAGCGUCUGCCAAUAACAUAGAAGGUGCUUUGAAGCAUGCUCACCAGAGGGCCCCUGACCUCCAGUUGCUUAUCGUGAUUCUCCCGGAUGUUACUGGCCAUUACGGUAAAGUUAAGAAGGUGUGCGAGACUGACCUUGGUAUAGUUUCUCAAUGUCUCAAGCCAGACAAGGUCGAAAGAGCAAACAAGCAGUAUUUUGAAAAUGUUGCACUUAAAGUCAAUGUCAAGGUCGGAGGGAGAAAUACAGCUCUUCAGCAAGCUCUUAAACGUCAAAUACCGUUAGUCACCGACAAGCCGACGAUCUUUUUUGGUGCUGAUGUAACACAUCCGGCGGCUGGGGAUGAUUCUUCACCGUCAAUUGCAGCCGUGGUGGCCUCCAUGGACUGGCCUGAAAUCACAAAGUACAAAGCUGUGGUUUCUGCCCAACCGCCCAGGCAGGAGAUUAUUCAAGAUCUCUAUUGCAGAGGCACAGACCCUGAGAAGGGCACCCCUGUACACGGUGGAAUGAUGCGGGAGUUGCUAGUGUCAUUCUAUCAGAAGACCAAACAUAAACCCAGCAGGAUCAUAUUCUACAGGGACGGUGUGAGUGAAGGGCAAUUCGCCCAAGUUCUGAUGUAUGAAAUGGAUGCCAUCAGGAAGGCUUGUGCAUCUUUGCAGGACGAUUAUCAGCCCCCUGUGACAUUUGUGGUUGUCCAGAAAAGGCAUCACACAAGGCUCUUCCCUGAGGUGCAUGGAAAAGAGACCGACAAAAGUGGAAACAUCCUACCUGGAACCGUGGUCGACACCAACAUAUGCCAUCCCACCGAGUUUGAUUUCUACCUGUGUAGCCAUGCCGGGAUUCAGGGCACAAGCAGACCAACUCACUACCAUGUCCUCUUCGAUGAAAACUCUUUCACUGCCGAUGGGCUGCAGGUGCUCACCAACAACCUCUGCUACACAUACGCUCGAUGCACUCGCUCUGUCUCUGUUGUUCCUCCUGCCUACUACGCUCACCUGGCCGCGUUCCGCGCACGGUAUUACGAUGAGCCGUCGGAGGGCUCGGACAGCGCCUCGAUCGUCAGCGGUGGCACCCGGGAUUCAGCCGCCACCGGCGCAGGAGCUGCUUAA